Molecule: long non-coding RNA, 393 nt
Organism: Mytilus trossulus (common blue mussel)
Lineage: Eukaryota; Metazoa; Mollusca; Bivalvia; Mytilida; Mytilidae
Exons: 4
Source: RefSeq, a predicted model, not a curated record
AGACUGAACACAUCAAAAAGGAACCUGUUGAAAUAGUCUUAUUGUUAUUAGAAAGAACAGAUGUUAAUCCAUAUAAAGUUAAUGAGGAUGGGAACACUCCAUUUGACCUGGCUGUAGAAGCAGAACUAUUCGAAAUAGUCAAAUUAUUAUUAGCAAGAACAACUGUAGAUCCGACAAGAACAUAUGAGGAUGGGGACACUGUUUUACACAUAGCUGCUAGAAGAGGACAUCUUGAAAUUGUCCAAUUGCUAUUAAAAAUCUCAUGUAUAGACCCAAAUCAAAAGAAUAAGAGAGGCGACUCUCCCUUACACUCAGCUGUUAAACGGGGAUAUGUUGACACAGUCAAACUUUUAUUAGAAAGAACAGAUAUAGAUGUAAACUGUGUAAAUAAGG